This is a long non-coding RNA of Aedes albopictus (Asian tiger mosquito), 340 nucleotides long. RefSeq lists it as uncharacterized. The transcript is spliced from 3 exons. Lineage: Eukaryota; Metazoa; Arthropoda; Insecta; Diptera; Culicidae. The record is from RefSeq and is a predicted model, not a curated record.
ACGAUCAAAAACCGUGACCAAGCAACUUCGAAUGAAAAUUGAUAGUAGGCGCAAAUUUAUUUGGUUGAAUUUGAGAGGUUUCUCGUGAAAUUUAGUUCUAUUUCAUGCUUAAUUCUUAAAAGGUAGUUGAAUUCAAUAAGUGAAGUCUAGCAUUGAAAUGUGUGAUACAUGCAGAUACGUAGUUUCUUAAUCUAAUAGUACGGACUAUAUACAAAUAUCUAAGCUGAAGCAUAUAUUGGAUUCUGAACGGUGCUGAUAAACUAUAAAUAUUACAGUAAUCCCCAUAUCUAAGACCUAUCGAGGCGUGGUAUGAUCCUUGAUGUCGAAGGUCACCAAAAUU